This 71-nucleotide transfer RNA is filed under the name Bos taurus (domestic cattle). It matches the Rfam family "tRNA". Rfam says of the family: Transfer RNA (tRNA) molecules are approximately 80 nucleotides in length. Their secondary structure includes four short double-helical elements and three loops (D, anti-codon, and T loops). RNAcentral also lists the same sequence under 1 other name. Lineage: Eukaryota; Metazoa; Chordata; Mammalia; Artiodactyla; Bovidae. The record is from Rfam by way of RNAcentral.
UCCCUGGUGGCUCAGGUGGUAAGUAUCUGCCUGCAAUGCGGGAGACCCAGGUUCAAUUCCUGGGUUGGGAA